Molecule: non-coding RNA, 23 nt
Filed under: Rattus norvegicus (Norway rat)
Lineage: Eukaryota; Metazoa; Chordata; Mammalia; Rodentia; Muridae
Source: RNAcentral
AUAACCCUCAGUGCCUUCACUCU